GAUGAACGCUGGCGGCGUGCCUAAUACAUGCAAGUCGAGCGAACGGACGAGAAGCUUGCUUCUCUGAUGUUAGCGGCGGACGGGUGAGUAACACGUGGAUAACCUACCUAUAAGACUGGGAUAACUUCGGGAAACCGGAGCUAAUACCGGAUAAUAUUUUGAACCGCAUGGUUCAAAAGUGAAAGACGGUCUUGCUGUCACUUAUAGAUGGAUCCGCGCUGCAUUAGCUAGUUGGUAAGGUAACGGCUUACCAAGGCAACGAUGCAUAGCCGACCUGAGAGGGUGAUCGGCCACACUGGAACUGAGACACGGUCCAGACUCCUACGGGAGGCAGCAGUAGGGAAUCUUCCGCAAUGGGCGAAAGCCUGACGGAGCAACGCCGCGUGAGUGAUGAAGGUCUUCGGAUCGUAAAACUCUGUUAUUAGGGAAGAACAUAUGUGUAAGUAACUGUGCACAUCUUGACGGUACCUAAUCAGAAAGCCACGGCUAACUACGUGCCAGCAGCCGCGGUAAUACGUAGGUGGCAAGCGUUAUCCGGAAUUAUUGGGCGUAAAGCGCGCGUAGGCGGUUUUUUAAGUCUGAUGUGAAAGCCCACGGCUCAACCGUGGAGGGUCAUUGGAAACUGGAAAACUUGAGUGCAGAAGAGGAAAGUGGAAUUCCAUGUGUAGCGGUGAAAUGCGCAGAGAUAUGGAGGAACACCAGUGGCGAAGGCGACUUUCUGGUCUGUAACUGACGCUGAUGUGCGAAAGCGUGGGGAUCAAACAGGAUUAGAUACCCUGGUAGUCCACGCCGUAAACGAUGAGUGCUAAGUGUUAGGGGGUUUCCGCCCCUUAGUGCUGCAGCUAACGCAUUAAGCACUCCGCCUGGGGAGUACGACCGCAAGGUUGAAACUCAAAGGAAUUGACGGGGACCCGCACAAGCGGUGGAGCAUGUGGUUUAAUUCGAAGCAACGCGAAGAACCUUACCAAAUCUUGACAUCCUUUGACAACUCUAGAGAUAGAGCCUUCCCCUUCGGGGGACAAAGUGACAGGUGGUGCAUGGUUGUCGUCAGCUCGUGUCGUGAGAUGUUGGGUUAAGCCCCGCAACGAGCGCAACCCUUAAGCUUAGUUGCCAUCAUUAAGUUGGGCACUCUAAGUUGACUGCCGGUGACAAACCGGAGGAAGGUGGGGAUGACGUCAAAUCAUCAUGCCCCUUAUGAUUUGGGCUACACACGUGCUGCAAUGGACAAUACAAAGGGCAGCGAAACCGCGAGGUCAAGCAAAUCCCAUAAAGUUGUUCUCAGUUCGGAUUGUAGUCUGCAACUCGACUACAUGAAGCUGGAAUCGCUAGUAAUCGUAGAUCAGCAUGCUACGGUGAAUACGUUCCCGGGUCU
This 1372-nucleotide ribosomal RNA is filed under the name uncultured bacterium. RNAcentral's name for it is "bacterial SSU rRNA". It matches the Rfam family "Bacterial small subunit ribosomal RNA", at positions 28 to 1381 of the family's 1533-position model. The record is from RNAcentral.